Molecule: ribosomal RNA, 490 nt
Filed under: uncultured bacterium
Lineage: Bacteria
Description: partial 16S ribosomal RNA
Rfam family: Bacterial small subunit ribosomal RNA
Source: RNAcentral
AUUGAACGCUGGCGGCAUGCCUUACACAUGCAAGUCGAACGGCAGCAUGAUCUAGCUUGCUAGAUUGAUGGCGAGUGGCGAACGGGUGAGUAAUACAUCGGAACGUGCCCUGUAGUGGGGGAUAACUAGUCGAAAGAUUAGCUAAUACCGCAUACGACCUGAGGGUGAAAGUGGGGGACCGCAAGGCCUCAUGCUAUAGGAGCGGCCGAUGUCUGAUUAGCUAGUUGGUGAGGUAAAGGCUCACCAAGGCGACGAUCAGUAGCUGGUCUGAGAGGACGAUCAGCCACACUGGGACUGAGACACGACCCAGACUCCUACGGGAGGCAGCAGUGGGGAAUUUUGGACAAUGGGCGAAAGCCUGAUCCAGCAAUGCCGCGUGUGUGAAGAAGGCCUUCGGGUUGUAAAGCACUUUUGUCCGGAAAGAAAUGGCUCUGGUUAAUACCUGGGGUCGAUGACGGUACCGGAAGAAUAAGGACCGGCUAACUACGUG